GGAAGGAGGAGCCACUGCUAGUGGGUACGAGGUUUCUUCUUGGUACAAGGCCAAGAUCCAACUCAGAAGACUAGAAAAUGAACAACCCAGCAAACUUAGGAGAUGGGGAAGGAAGGGAAUUCAGAAGGUGAUAGCUGCAAGCAUCGGCAGACCAGUCCUAGCAAAAUGGAGUUUAAAAGGGGGACUUCUACGUUCUGUCCUCCUGCAGCCAUCUAAAAUCAGCCAGAAAGGUUUAGGAUCCCAUUUCCUGUUCUUGCAUCGGCUGUCCAAGCUGCUGUUCCUCUCUCCGCAGUAAGAGGGUGUUUCUCUCCCUGUUCAAGAGGAGCACCAACACUUGAGGACAGUAUCAUCCCUAGACCUUGGCAAGAGAGACCACUGAGUGAGGCAUCCAUGGAACCCAAGGAAGAGGCCUACGAAGAACCUGCAGUCACCUUCUAGACCAUUCUCCCUCACCAAACUGUCCCCUCCAGAGAGCUGAGGACUGGAUCUUCCCAUGCUGACACCUCCAGUGGGAAAGAAAAUUCUAGAUUCAGCUCUGGGUGUCCAAGUCAUUAUGAAGGCAUAUUUGUCAAGGUGGAAGAAAAGGACAUAUUCUAUUUAGCAGUUUGUAAGUUUGAUCGAUAACUUUAAAAUAUUUGGACCUAU
Long non-coding RNA from Homo sapiens (human), 645 nucleotides. The record is from Ensembl. NCBI's taxonomy places the organism in Eukaryota, Metazoa, Chordata, Mammalia, Primates, Hominidae.